UACGGGGGAUGCGAGCGUUAUCCGGAUUUAUUGGGUUUAAAGGGCGCGUAGGCGGGACGUCAAGUCAGCGGUAAAAGACUGCAGCUAAACUGUAGCACGCCGUUGAAACUGGCGCCCUGGAGACGAGACGAGGGAGGCGGAACAAGUGAAGUAGCGGUGAAAUGCAUAGAUAUCACUUGGAACCCCGAUAGCGAAGGCAGCUUCCCAGGCUCGUUCUGACGCUGAUGCGCGAGAGCGUGGGUAGCGAACAGG
This 252-nucleotide ribosomal RNA is filed under the name Butyricimonas virosa. RNAcentral describes it as "partial 16S ribosomal RNA". It matches the Rfam family "Bacterial small subunit ribosomal RNA", at positions 524 to 776 of the family's 1533-position model. RNAcentral also lists the same sequence under 1 other name. Lineage: Bacteria; Pseudomonadati; Bacteroidota; Bacteroidia; Bacteroidales; Odoribacteraceae. The record is from RNAcentral.